UGUGCCUAAUUAAACUGAAGUUCGCGUGACAUGUUCGUUCGCAGCUCGUGGGCAAGUUGACGCUCCAGUCGUUUUCCAUCCAACACAACAUUUGUAAGCCAGCACUCGUCACUGUGGUCGAGACGCCAUUUUCAUAAUAAGGGCAUCGUCAUGCACUAUCCCGACGGGCUUCUCGAAGCAGAAAGCGAGCAAAAGUUCGCAGUAACACCUGCAAAGGUCUACAACGGCAGCGCCCUCGCCAAUUCGCAAGCGGCAGAAGGAAUGAAACACAUCCAGUGGGGUACAGCUGAGUAGUAUACCUGGGAAGUAUUACAAGUUCAGGGUGAGAAAAGUAUAUUCUUGGCUUUUUAAAGGGUAUUUUGCAUGGCUGUGAUCGA
Ornithodoros turicata is the source of this 377-nucleotide long non-coding RNA. RefSeq lists it as uncharacterized. The transcript has 3 exons. The record is from RefSeq and is a predicted model, not a curated record. NCBI's taxonomy places the organism in Eukaryota, Metazoa, Arthropoda, Arachnida, Ixodida, Argasidae.